Molecule: ribosomal RNA, 472 nt
Filed under: uncultured bacterium
Lineage: Bacteria
Description: bacterial SSU rRNA
Rfam family: Bacterial small subunit ribosomal RNA
Source: RNAcentral
UGGGGAAUAUUGGACAAUGGGCGAAAGCCUGAUCCAGCCAUGCCGCGUGUGUGAAGAAGGUCUUCGGAUUGUAAAGCACUUUAAGUUGGGAGGAAGGGUUGUAGAUUAAUACUCUGCAAUUUUGACGUUACCGACAGAAUAAGCACCGGCUAACUCUGUGCCAGCAGCCGCGGUAAUACAGAGGGUGCAAGCGUUAAUCGGAAUUACUGGGCGUAAAGCGCGCGUAGGUGGUUUGUUAAGUUGGAUGUGAAAUCCCCGGGCUCAACCUGGGAACUGCAUCCAAAACUGGCAAGCUAGAGUAUGGUAGAGGGUGGUGGAAUUUCCUGUGUAGCGGUGAAAUGCGUAGAUAUAGGAAGGAACACCAGUGGCGAAGGCGACCACCUGGACUGAUACUGACGCUGAGGUACGAAAGCGUGGGGAGCAAACAGGAUUAGAUACCCUAGUAGUCCCUGAGCGGGCUGGCAAGGCGCAU